Molecule: unclassified non-coding RNA, 336 nt
Filed under: soil metagenome
Description: partial contains 5.8S ribosomal RNA, internal transcribed spacer 2, and large subunit ribosomal RNA
Rfam family: 5.8S ribosomal RNA (bases 1-120)
Source: RNAcentral
GAUGAAGAACGUAGCGAAACGCGAUAGGUAAUGUGAAUUGCAGAAUUCAGUGAAUCAUCGAAUCUUUGAACGCACAUUGCGCCCCUUGGUAUUCCAUGGGGCAUGCCUGUUCGAGCGUCAUUUGUACCUUCAAGCUUUGCUUGGUGUUGGGUGUUUGUCUCGCCUUUGCGUGUAGACUCGCCUUAAAAUAAUUGGCAGCCGGCGUAUUGAUUUCGGAGCGCAGUACAUCUCGCGCUUUGCACUCAUAACGACAGCGUCCAAAAGUACAUUUUACACUCUUGACCUCGGAUCAGGUAGGGAUACCCGCUGAACUUAAGCAUAUCAAUAAGCGGAGGA